Molecule: ribosomal RNA, 250 nt
Filed under: uncultured bacterium
Lineage: Bacteria
Description: partial 16S ribosomal RNA
Rfam family: Bacterial small subunit ribosomal RNA
Source: RNAcentral
UACGUAGGGGGCGAGCGUUGUCCGGAUUUAUUGGCGUAAAGAGCUCGUAGGCGGCUUGGCAAGUCGGGUGUGAAACCUCCAGGCUCAACCUGGAGACGCCACUCGAUACUGCUAUGGCUAGAGUCCGGUAGGGACCACGGAAUUCCUGGUGUAGCGGUGAAAUGCGCAGAUAUCAAGAGGAACACCAGUGGCGAAGGCGAGUCCCUGGACGAUACCUGACACUGAGGCACGAAGCUAGGGAGCAAACAGG